RNAcentral lists this long non-coding RNA (1056 nucleotides) under Bos mutus (wild yak). Its description in RNAcentral is "lncRNA (ENSBMUG00000007882.1)". The record is from RNAcentral. Lineage: Eukaryota; Metazoa; Chordata; Mammalia; Artiodactyla; Bovidae.
UGAUGUUGACAGCCAGUCUGGGGUCAGUGUGUCAUGGGCAGCAUAUAGUUAAUUUCUCCACCGGUUGGAGAUUUCAACAACUGCCAAACAGCUCAAAGACAGUGCUGUGUGUAUCCCUUGACGGGGAACCAGGACCCUGCCCCAAGACCACUACAGUUUCUUAACUGCUCCUCCCGUGUCUCCACAUCCCCUCCCUUCCCUGAAUAACAUCUGUUUGAGCCUGCCUCUUGAACUCAGAGAGGUCACGGAGGCUGAAUGAAGCCCGUUUCCUGCAAACAAGAAACGGGGAGACACAAAAAGGCUUUUGUACACAGGAGCAUCACAAGACCCUGCUCAGUAUCACUUUGACCCUGUAAGUCUUUUUGUUCUCAGAGCCUGAGAUUCCAACCCCUACAUCAGAGCUGACAGAGACUGUGGUCUGUGCCCUGGGGCUGGCCAUGGGCCUCAUGGGCAUCGUGGUGGGCACUGUCCUCAUCCUCCGAGUCCGGUGCUUGGGUGCUGCCUCCAGACGUCGAAGGGCCAUGUGAGUCAUGGCCUGAAAGAUGGGAAGGAGAGGAAAGUCUUCAUUUCUGUUUUCGCUGCAGCAUCAAGAGCCCAGGACCAUCAGCCUCAUGCUGUUUGGUGUUUCAGGUGAUCAGUCUUUACAAGAAAAAAAAGGCCUGGUUCAGACUCCAGUUCCCUGUCUUGACCUUGACUGAGACGUGCUCCUUGUUCCACUUCAUCACAGAGCUCCUUCCACGCCCUCCUGCCCUCCCUGCCAGGGUGGACUUUAUGGAGGAAUUUUCCUUCGAAGAUCACUGACCCUUAUGAAUUCUCCCAACUUAGUCUUUGAUUCAUUGACUACCUGUCACAGAGAGACCUGGAUUGUUCCACCCAGCCACCUAGUUCUUGGUCACCCUAAUCCAACAUCUGUUCCAAACAAAUAAGUAAAUCUUGCACCAAGAGAUUGUCUUGCUAAGUGAAGUAAGUCAGAAAGAGAAAGACAAAUGCCAUAUGAUAUCACUUACGUGUGGAAUCUAAAAUAUGACAGAAGUGAACCUACCUAUGAAACAGAAG